AUCCAACCAUGGUAUCAUUAAAAUAAUUAGUAACCAUAAAUAAUUUUAAAAUAAAAAAAAGAUUACAAACAGUGUAUCAUGCUGACUUCAUUAAUAAAAAAUAAGUAAGUAAAUAAUAAUAUUAAAAGUGUCAGAAGAGAGGUGAGAGGUGCAAAGCCAUGGGCUCUGUAAGUGCACAAAAAUAGACCAUAUCCAGACAGCAUCACACCACCCAGUCACAGUUUAUUUUACUACAUGUAACAUUAGGACUUUAUUUUUACCACUGUACAGUAUAUACUGAGAACACACAGACACACAAACAUCAGUAGAUAACUUGCUCAAAACCAAAACAAGAACAGUGCCAUGCAGAGUCAUUUUGAGUGUUUGUACAGAGCUUUUCACCAUACCACUCAUCCCAAAGCAGAUUUACAAAUAGUGCCUUACAAACCAACAAAGAUUAAACAGCAGAAACACCAAUCACACAUGUACCUCAAAUAUAGAAGAACAUUAUCUGUAAUCUAAAGUUGCUUGAGCAUUAACAAGAUAGUUUGAUAUUAAAGGCAAAGUUCACCCAAAAAUCAUUUUAUUCAUCAAUUAUUCACGGUCAAGUUGUUCCAAACCUGUAUGAGUUGCUUUCUUCUGUUGAAAACAAAACAAGUUACUCUGAAGAGUACUGGUAACCCAGUAGUUCCCAUUUCUGGUCCCCAUUUACUUCCAUAGUAUUUUUUGUCCAUACUAAACUGUUUGAUUACCCACAUUCUUCAAAAUAUCUUCUCUGAAUUGUCCUUUAACUGGGGUUGCUGAAGGGGGAGUUCCAUCUCUUUGAUGUGCUGGUGGUUUGUGGAAAUGCAAACCAAGUAAAUGCAAGUGAAAGUCUGCUACGAUGGAAAAAUCUGGUGGAAGUCUUUGCAUUACGAAGAGCAGUUUAGGAGUUUGGGGGCUUUCCUCUGUGGUAUAGUUUUGAGGAUUUUACAACAAAACUAGGGGUGCACGAUAAAUAUCGGCUGAUAAUUAAUGCGCAUCUCGUCAGUAAAGCCGGUUCUCUAAUCAGCGGUAAAUUCUAUCAGGUGCGUGAUUUCACAUAGAGCUGGGGGAAGUUGUGGCCUAGUGGUUAGAGAGUUUGACUCCUAACCCUAAGGCUGUGGGUUCGAGUCUCGGGCCGGCAAUACCACGACUGAGGUGCCCUUGAGCAAGGCAACGAUCCCCCAACUGCCGCAGCAUAAAUGUCUGCCCACUGCUCCGGGUGUGUGUUCACUGCUGUGUGUCUGCACUUAGGAUGGGUUAAAUGCAGAGCACGAAUUCUGAGUAUGGGUCACCAUACUUGGCUGUAUGUCACGUCACUUUUACUUUCACUGUUACUACACAGGGCUGAGUUUCCCAAAAGCUUCGUAAGCCUAAGAAGUUCGUUAAAACGAUCGUAUGACUGAUCUUAAUAUUACAGUCUGUUUCCCAAAAGCAUCGUAACUUAAGUAGCACUUGAAAAUCAUCGUAGAUCUACGAGUGCAUCGAUUUAUGCGGUCACCUGCAGGACAAUCAGCAGAUUGCACCUUUAACUUUAUUCAAGUGCAAUGUGAUUAUAAUAUAAGGAUUUGAUUGUACUUUAUUGUUCAUUUUGUACUCGUAUUUGUUGUUGUUUUAAAUGAAUUUAUAAAUGAAAAAUAAUUAAAAAGGGCAUAAAAAUAGAAAUACACUUCUAAAUUAAAUGACUGAACAAUACAUU
This is a long non-coding RNA of Cyprinus carpio carpio, 1699 nucleotides long. The record is from Ensembl. NCBI's taxonomy places the organism in Eukaryota, Metazoa, Chordata, Actinopteri, Cypriniformes, Cyprinidae.